This 254-nucleotide ribosomal RNA is filed under the name uncultured bacterium. RNAcentral describes it as "partial 16S ribosomal RNA". It matches the Rfam family "Bacterial small subunit ribosomal RNA", at positions 524 to 776 of the family's 1533-position model. The record is from RNAcentral.
UACGUAGGUGGCAAGCGUUGUCCGGAUUUACUGGGCGUAAAGGGCGCGUAGGCGGCCUUCUAAGUCGAACGUGAAAUCCCCGGGCUCAACCCGGGAACUGCGUCCGAUACUGGAAGGCUUGAAUCCGGGAGAGGGAUGUGGAAUUCCAGGUGUAGCGGUGAAAUGCGUAGAUAUCUGGAGGAACACCGGUGGCGAAGGCGACAUCCUGGACCGGUAUUGACGCUGAGUGAGCGAAAGCCAGGGGAGCAAACGGG